This 260-nucleotide long non-coding RNA is filed under the name Gossypium barbadense (sea-island cotton). Its description in RNAcentral is "long non-coding RNA (GBAR_LNC014572)". Lineage: Eukaryota; Viridiplantae; Streptophyta; Magnoliopsida; Malvales; Malvaceae. The record is from RNAcentral.
GACACCGGCGGAAACUGUUCAAUUUAUUUAUUUUUGUAAUUAAAAUUUCACCUAUUUUAUUUUCGUAAUUAUUUAUGUUUCAUAUUAUUUAUAUAAAAAAGUCAGGAAAUUGGCAACAAUAGGUCAACUAUGGGGAUGCUGAAUCUUGUUCUUCAAAUAUAGUACGAAGCAUUUAGGAUUUUUCUUAAAUCAAUUAUGGUAAAAGAUUCAUUGUAUCAUGUCAUAAUCACCAUCUUUUAAUCAGAUUUAUAAUGUUUUCG